GUUUUCAGUAGAAUUUAGCAAAACUUGCAUUGGUUCCUGUGAGAAAACACACUUAGGGCCCUCGGUGGGCCAAACAAAAGAAGAAAACUGAAACUCACCGGUGGUGGGGCUCUCCGGUGCGGCAGCUCCUCCAGCUCACGUUGCGGUUGGGUGUUUUGCUUCGGUCAACCUGUAAAAAAAGAAACGGUGAUCAAAACGGUGGAAAAAUUACAUCGAACGGGAAUCGGGAAGGGUCUCAUCGGAGGGAUUUUUUGAAACACCCU
RNAcentral lists this long non-coding RNA (263 nucleotides) under Carica papaya (papaya). RNAcentral describes it as "long non-coding RNA (CPAP_LNC003726)". The record is from RNAcentral. Lineage: Eukaryota; Viridiplantae; Streptophyta; Magnoliopsida; Brassicales; Caricaceae.